RNAcentral lists this ribosomal RNA (893 nucleotides) under uncultured Geobacter sp. RNAcentral describes it as "bacterial SSU rRNA". It matches the Rfam family "Bacterial small subunit ribosomal RNA", at positions 28 to 897 of the family's 1533-position model. Lineage: Bacteria; Pseudomonadati; Thermodesulfobacteriota; Desulfuromonadia; Geobacterales; Geobacteraceae. The record is from RNAcentral.
AACGAACGCUGGCGGCGUGCCUAACACAUGCAAGUCGAACGGAAUGAGGGGGCUUGCUCCUUCAUUUAGUGGCGCACGGGUGAGUAACGCGUAGAUAAUCUGCCUGAUGAUCUGGGAUAACAUCUCGAAAGGGGUGCUAAUACCGGAUAAGCCCACGGGGUCUUUGGAUUCUGCGGGAAAAGGGGGGGACCUUCGGGCCUUCUGUCAUCAGAUGAGUCUGCGUACCAUUAGCUAGUUGGUAGGGUAAUGGCCUACCAAGGCGACGAUGGUUAGCUGGUCUGAGAGGAUGAUCAGCCACACUGGAACUGAGACACGGUCCAGACUCCUACGGGAGGCAGCAGUGGGGAAUUUUGCGCAAUGGGCGAAAGCCUGACGCAGCAACGCCGCGUGAGUGAUGAAGGCUUUCGGGUCGUAAAGCUCUGUCAAGGGGAAAGAAGUGUAUUGUGGUUAAUACCCGCGAUACUUGACGGUACCCCUAAAGGAAGCACCGGCUAACUCCGUGCCAGCAGCCGCGGUAAUACGGAGGGUGCAAGCGUUGUUCGGGUUUAUUGGGCGUAAAGCGCGUGUAGGCGGUUUAUUAAGUCUGAUGUGAGAGCCCUGGGCUCAACCCAGGAAGUGCAUUGGAUACUGGUAGACUUGAAUACGGGAGAGGGCAGUGGAAUUCCUGGUGUAGGAGUGAAAUCCGUAGAUAUCAGGAGGAACACCGGUGGCGAAGGCGGCUGCCUGGACCGAUAUUGACGCUGAGACGCGAAAGCGUGGGUAGCAAACAGGAUUAGAUACCCUGGUAGUCCACGCCGUAAACGAUGAGUACUAGGUGUUGCGGGUAUUGACCCCUGCAGUGCCGCAGCUAACGCAUUAAGUACUCCGCCUGGGAAGUACGGUCGCAAGACUAA